CCAAGUAUUAGACCCAUUAUAGCUUACACCAACUAUUCUUUACAGCUUACACCAAAUAUCCUUCAAUGUAUACCUGAAAAUAUUUGAAAUAUAAAAAUAAUCGAAAUAUGUGAGUCAAAAUAAAAUAAUUAUAAAUCCGAAACAUAAGAACCCUUACUUUAACCUGAAUUAUCUAAAAAAUAAAUGAGCCAAGAGAAGGUCAAAAUCAUUAAAUAAAACUAUGUUAUAAAUACAUGUGAAUGAAGUAAUUAAAAAAAGAGUAAGAAUGCCUGAUCCAAAACUAUUAAUAAGGCUUAGUCAAAAUGUUAAAGAGUCAAAAAUAUAUCCAGCAACCUGAGACAAAUUAUUACAUAGAAGAUAGUAUUGAUAUAUAUUAAAUCAAAUUCUACCACUCUUUAAACAAUAACCCCAAAUCGUUUCAUCUUAAAUUCACUUUUCCUUAGAUGCAACCUACAGGAAAUUUUCAAAUCACAUGUUUUUCUCUUCCUCCAGAAGAGUUUUACAACAAAUUAUAUGAUCCAGGUUUUAAUUCAAUCACAUGUUUUUCCCUUCCCUUCCUCCAAAUCACUUUUCUGUUGUAUUCUUUGAUUCUAGUUUUCUAGAAAACAUAGUAAAUAAUUUGGAUAACAUAUCCUCUUUCUAUUUUUAGGUUAUAACUGAAAACAAUUAUUUUGAAAAUGAUAGUCAAUACCCAAAGAACAAAAAACUAAAACUGGAGAACAACAAAAAGAGCAUAGAUCUAUUCAAUUUCCCACCAGUAAAAUAAACUUUAAUAGAAUCAAUUUCCUAGAACCAAUUUUCAAAUCACAUCUUAUUUUAGAAAGUAAAAGCAAAGUUUUAAUUGGAUCAUUGCAUUUGACACAUAUGAUCCAAGUUACCCUUAAGCUCCUCAGUAACCAAACUACAAAAAAAUCUAACUAUAUAAUACAAACAAACAACUUCUGGUAAGAAUCAAGUGUCAUCAUUUGAACCUCAACCACCUAGCAAAAGUCUGUUUCAAAUUAAUCAUUAAGCAUUUAACAUAAUAUAGGUCUCCGCAUUUGAUAAGGCAUCUAAAAAAACAUGGUGAACUGUAUGUACUACUAAUAAAUAAACAAAUGUCUACACGACAGAAUAAAUGCAGAGGCAGAUAUAUUUAUGGAUUAUUAAUCAUUCAAAACGAUAGCUAAAGUGUGUAUAUUUAUGGAUUAUUAAUCACAAUCAUUAAGAAUCAGUAUCAAGAUAUCAGCACGCCAAGCAACAAAAAUAUCAUGAUCGCUAAAGUGUGUCAGGUCCUUGCAGAUAUAUUUAUGGAUUAUUAAUCAUUCAAAACGAUAUCAGCAAGUCAAAACUAAAUUAAAUGUGAACAGAUCGGUACAAUAUCCCUCAAACAGGGUAAUAGAUCUUAUAUUAAACCAAAUCUAUUUGUGGAGACAGUUGAAUGUCGCAUGAACUGAUGAGUAAAGAAAACUACUUGUUGGUAAAGAAAAAACCAAGUGCAAGUCAGCAGCAGAAAUGCCGACAGGAAGUCCCUUUACCAACCAAUGCCAUUCAUAUCCCAUUUAGCUUACCUUCAAGUUAUACUAUAUACAAACAGGAGUACAUUGAUUUUCAUUUUUUAUCCCCUUAUUAUGUCAAAAAAUUGUCAAUACGUAGCAAGUCAAUCCACAAAUAUUCAGCCCCUAAAUCAACUAAACUUCAUGUUUAUAACAGGGCCUCCUAAUAUCCUCCUAUCUCUCCACCAAAAAUUAAAGACAGCAAUAUCAACCAUCACGUUCCUUAAUUAGCUUUCAAUAUACUCCACUUAGCUAGUUUCUUACAUAGUCGUGUGAAAAAUGACUGUGAUAUUGGCUUUAUUUGAAGCAAUUUUUUUGAUAUGGAAAAUAUAUAUAAACACAUACUGUCAUGUAAUGGAGUUUUUUUGAAUUUGAAGAAUAAGCCAGGAAUACUCACAGAGAAACACAAUGAGAAGAUUCAGAUGGAAAUGGAGAAUGUGAACCACCCUUUCUCUCAUGGCUGCUCUGUAGCUCAGACUCCAAAGGGAAAAAAACAAAAAUUAUCAAAUAGUGCAAGAACACACACGGAUAGAGAUUGUUAAAGCAAGAAUUAGAACUUCAAUUUAGAAAUUAAGAAAUGGUGGGGUUGUGAAAAUAAAGAAUGGGCGCCAUGAAUGAGAGCAGCUAGGUGUGUGGGGACAUAAGCUGCAAUCAGCAAUAGCUGUCCAUAAUAAUCCUCGUGUGAAAGACCCCACCCAUGAAUGAAUUGAGAGAAAAAACAGAAAUUUGUUAGUGUAAAACUCAGAUGCUAUAUGCUUGGCAUUAAAAUUCAUUAAUGGCCUUUUUUCCACUCUUGUACUACCACUAAUCCAAAUUUCAUUAAAAGUUUCAAGUGUUCCAAUUUUUCCUUCCCUUUUUUCCCCAAAAAUAAAACUUAAAAACAGGAUGCAAAUGAAGAAGCUUGGGUUCCAUACUAAAGUAGACUUUCUAAAAGUUCUAAAGCUAAUGAUAAUAAUAACAAUACUUUAGAUUUUCUAGUACACCAGGAUCUCCCACUGCCAAAUCAUUGAUUUCAUAUUUGAUCAGUUGUUCACUUGACAUGAAUGCCUUUUUCUAGUUUUCCUUGGCUAAUCCAUCAUUAGCAAUAUAAAUCCUCGUAAAAAAACAUUGUCCUUUAUUCUUUUAGACACUUGUGCACAUGCUCUCUAUGACAUAACAUCUCUCUCCUACGUUAUAAAACAAUAUAUCAUUAUUAUAUAUUUUGUUACAUACUUGUACAAAUUAUCUUUGUUCCGCACAAAAGCAUCUAAAGGUCACCUCUCCUACUUAUCGAAAUAGUAAAUAAAUUAAAAAAAUAUGAUCUAUCAUCCCUCUAAAAGACAUAAUACACAAGUACCACAAAUGGGCCUCACAUGAUUCAUCUACCUGUGAGAUCGUCUUACAGCUAAUCAUUUCACGUUCCAUGAUUACUCAAUAAUUUUAUUAUUACAAGACAAUUUGAAAACUAAUCAAUUCUACAGCAAGAUAGAUGUCAACCUCAAUCACAAAAGAAAUCUAACAAGGCUACCAAUGAAAAAACUACUAAAGCAAGACCUCCUGGCAAACAGCUUAUAAGACAAACAGCUUAUAAUUGUGAAUGAUAACUUAAUUAGUUAAGCCAAUUUGAAAACUAAUCAUGUUAACGUAACCACUAACUACUUACUAAGCAUUAACCACAAGUUAAAUUAAAGAAAAUGAAUUUACAAAGAAACUCAAAUAUUUUUUUACCACUUAUGGCACACAAAGUCAAAAGGGAAACUCAAAUAUUUUUUUUACCACUUAUUUUCCAAAACAAAAAUUGUUACUAUAAGUAUAACAAAAUACACCAUUAACUCCAAACAUAGUAAAAAAAAACCAUGAAUAUUUGGAUUUGUACAAUAUAAUCACAAUCAUAUAAUCACAAUCAUAGGCCCUUCACUUCAUGGUUAGGGAUGGUGACACCUAUCUCCCUCCAUGAAUAAAACAAAAUUUAACAGUUACUGCACCUUGAGCUCUCAUUAGAUGGGAUACGUUCUGAAGCUGAAAUUACCAUGUCAACAACUUAAAUGGAUGGCAAAAAGAUUACGAAUGUAAGCAUGAGACUACAACUUAAAUGGAUGGCAAAAAGAUUACGAAUGGAAUGUUGCUAAAUAACCAAAGAACUGUCAUGAAAAAUGCAGUAUUCAUCAAAUAAAGAUGGCAGUUAAAAUGAAUGAACAAAAUCCAUAAACCAAUUAGUUAUACCAACCAGCUGUACAGAAAAAUAAGAAAGAUUGAUAACAAACUCAAGCCUAACAUAGUUUAGAAAAACAAAAGCAGGCAAUACAGAGUGGUAAAAAUAACAAUUGAUAACAAUGGCACAAACAGCUAAAAAACUAACAGAUGAAUAAUAAAAGUACCCCGAAAUGAUAAGCCUAAAAAUUUAAUUUAUAGCAACAUAUCAACUGAAAUUUAUAACUGAACUCGUUAAAUGUCUCACUUAGAGAUGAAUUUUGAGAUCAAAACUUAUAUUCUCAAGGGAAGCCCAAGACGAAAUACUGAUCAAUUUAACCAAGAAACACAAUUGUAAACAUCAAACCAAUCAAAAGGAACCCUAAAAAAGGAAAAACCAAAUCAAGAACCCCAUAAACCCAAUAAAGCUAAACCCUCAGACAAUUGAAGAAACCAAUAAAGCUAAACCCAAUAAACCCAAUUUCAUACAUUUUGUAAGAAACCAAACUGAAAUUAAAGUAAAACCAAGAUAAGGUGCUGAGGAAGAAAUACCAAGAUAAGAAUUCUUGGACCAGUGGGCUGGUGGGUGGGUAUCAAAAUCUCGUCCGUAAGAAGUCGAUCAGGUGCCGAGGAAGAGGAGAGCCAAGAGGAGUCUUAGAUCUUCGACUUGUUCUGCUUCUGCGUUUUUCAAGUGAACCCAAUUAGGGUUGGGUAUGAGAGAUCGAGAUUUAGGGGAGAUGAGAGGGAAGGUGUCGCGGAAGAGAUUUAGAUAAGAACAGAGAGAGAUAGAAGGUGCCGCGGAAGAGGAGAACAGAGAGAGAUAGAAGGUGCCGCAGAAGAGGAGAGCCAAGAGAAGGUCUUAGAUCGCGUUUCUCUCUCUCUCUUCAACUUUUCAGCUCUGUGUGUGUAAGGAGAGAAGGAGAGAUAAAGGGUUUAAAAU
Molecule: long non-coding RNA, 4644 nt
Filed under: Panax ginseng (ginseng)
Lineage: Eukaryota; Viridiplantae; Streptophyta; Magnoliopsida; Apiales; Araliaceae
Description: long non-coding RNA (PGIN_LNC014746)
Source: RNAcentral